GGUUUCUUUGAAGAGCAGUUUUCAGGCAGCAGAAUUGCCCCCCCAGGAGGGACUCUGUGCCUGCUCUCCCGUGGCUCCAAGGGAUCUCUGGCCCUUCACGCCGGCACCGAGAUUUUCUCGGGAAGGGCCUCAGAUCCCCGGACCAGUCUGGGACACAGCAAGAUCCCCCUGCAUUUUAGGACCAAAUUGUGCCCCCUGGAGGGACAGUGCUGUUGGUGCCCCCCGGGUUGGGGCACCCCGAGGACUCCAGCGCGCACCGAAAGGAUUAUUCGGGGAGAUCCUCGGGGUGCCCGGCCCUGGGGAGCUCAAAGCAAGGUCCCUGCAAUGGAUUCAGGAAUUGCUGAGAGUAUCCCAGGGGUACCUGUCCAUGCUAGACAUGGAGCUCUCCAAUGGACUGUAAUUGGGUGAUAAAAGUGGUGCUCCAAGUGCCAAAGCAGUGUAGGAUUGGGAUUAAGAAAUGAGCAGUGAUGGUCCAAUUGGCUGUUUUCUCUGGAAUGUAAUGGUAAGAGCUGCAGGAGUGCCAGGUGUGUGUUCCAGUCCCCAGCAUUUGGUUUGCACAUGUCCUGGUCAGACACAGGUCCAACUUCCUCAGUCCUUAACCCAAUAGAGGGAGAAUUAAGGACUGGCAGUGUUAAGGUGAUUGGUGUGACAGGGGUUAAACUGGGAAAACAUUGGGGAAUUCCUCACUUGGUCGAUUUGUCAAAUUCACCCAAACUUUUGCUGAGAAGAGAUUGAGUGGAAAAGUUGAGGCAGAAAUUAAAUUGGAAAGUGAGGAUAUUGAAACUGUAGUUGCUGUAACUAAAUAUGUCAAAGCAGCAGCUCUUGUUGUGCAGGGAAUAACUCCUGUCAGCAGCAAGGUCCCGACUGAAGUGGCAGCUGCAGUUGUUCCUGUGGUGUGGGCCAGUGGAAUUGCAGGAGAGUGGAAGAGGGCAGAACCUGAGGUGAAUGCAAGAACCUGCCAAGAAAACCAAUGUCCAAGAUGAUUGAUGAGUGCAGGACCUGAGAGAAGCACCUUGAAUGACAACCUCGAGUAGUUUCCAGUAUUGGAUUUAAAAGAUGGCCUUUGCUGCAUCUACUUGAGCAAGGAAAGCCAAGAAACCUUUGCUUUGGAAGGAGAAAAUGGGGAAAGCAGGAAGGAAGCAAAGCAGCCCCCUGACUCCUCCCUGAGCCCCAGACAGCCCAUGAACUGCCUUGCUGGGAAUGGUAGGAUGGGGUGGACUCUGGAUUGCUCCCUCUGGAUGUGUGUGGGAUGUAACCUGGAAAGUGCACAGAACUGAGCCAAGGGAGUGAAAGGGACUAACUAAAGGAGGUGAAGAAAGAAGGAAGAAGGGAAGUGAGGCAGCAGGCAAGCAGCACCAAGUUGCUGUGUAAGCAGGGACAGUGAGCUGGUCCAACUGUGGCAAGAAGAGCAAGUGGGCUGUGAAGGUUUGGAGCAGUCUGCAAGGUUCCUCAUGCCCAAAGGAAGUGCAGCCCUGGAAGCGUCAGGAAUACUGACAAGUGCCCCAGUUCUGGUGAAGCUCAACUGUGUAAAACAUUUAUGGAGCUAAAAUUCCACAGCACUGAGCUAUUGGGUCCCAAAUAAUAGUGAAGAGAGAGGCAGAAACUCCCCCUGCUGCUGGGGCUGAACUGUCUGCAGUGACUGGGCAGGACUUGGCCCUGAUGCCUGAGUGCUCUCCAACCCCCCAGGCUCGAUCCCAGCUGUCAGCCCCUGGCUCCAUAACUUGAGAAGAGGGUGUUCCUGCCAGCCCAGCUGCUGUGUUGGUGGUCCUGGGGGCACCUCUUGCCCUGGCCUGCUGUGAAUGUGUUUGUGUUGCAGCUCAAUAAAGUCCCUUUCAGUGGUGA
This is a long non-coding RNA of Pseudopipra pipra, 1842 nucleotides long. RefSeq lists it as uncharacterized. The transcript is spliced from 4 exons. The record is from RefSeq and is a predicted model, not a curated record. Lineage: Eukaryota; Metazoa; Chordata; Aves; Passeriformes; Pipridae.